AGUGAACGCUGGCGGUAGGCCUAACACAUGCAAGUCGAGCGCCAGCACAGUAAGAGCUUGCUCUUACGGGUGGCGAGUGGCGGACGGGUGAGGAAUACAUCGGAAUCUACUUUUUCGUGGGGGAUAACGUAGGGAAACUUACGCUAAUACCGCAUACGACCUACGGGUGAAAGCAGGGGAUCUUCGGACCUUGCGCGAUUGAAUGAGCCGAUGUCGGAUUAGCUAGUUGGCGGGGUAAAGGCCCACCAAGGCGACGAUCCGUAGCUGGUCUGAGAGGAUGAUCAGCCACACUGGAACUGAGACACGGUCCAGACUCCUACGGGAGGCAGCAGUGGGGAAUAUUGGACAAUGGGCGCAAGCCUAAUCCAGCCAUACCGCGUGGGUGAAGAAGGCCUUCGGGUUGUAAAGCCCUUUUGUUGGGAAAGAAAAGCAGCAGGUUAAUACCCCGCUGUUCUGACGGUACCCAAAGAAUAAGCACCGGCUAACUUCGUG
Molecule: ribosomal RNA, 492 nt
Filed under: uncultured bacterium
Lineage: Bacteria
Description: partial 16S ribosomal RNA
Rfam family: Bacterial small subunit ribosomal RNA
Source: RNAcentral